CCCUUAGAUGUUCUGGGCCGCACGCGCGCUACACUGGUCGAUGCAACGAGUUUCUUUCCUUGGCCGACAGGCCUGGGCAAUCUUUGAACAUCGAUCGUGAUCGGGAUAGAUUCUUGUAAUUUUUGAUCUUAAACGAGGAAUUCCUAGUAAACGCAAGUCAUCAGCUUGCGCUGAUUACGUCCCUGCCCUUUGUACACACCGCCCGUCGCUGCCCGGAACUGAGCCAUUUCGAGAAAAAUGGGGACAGACUGCUUGUGGGUGCGCAAGCACUUCUUGCAGAUUGAAACCAUCUUGAUCGGUAUGGCUUGAACCGGGCAAAAGUCGUAACA
RNAcentral lists this ribosomal RNA (329 nucleotides) under uncultured eukaryote. Its description in RNAcentral is "partial 18S ribosomal RNA". It matches the Rfam family "Eukaryotic small subunit ribosomal RNA", at positions 1470 to 1796 of the family's 1831-position model. The record is from RNAcentral.